GUUGUAUGGUUAAGUGACUAAGCGUACACGGUGGAUGCCUUGGCAGUCAGAGGCGAUGAAAGACGUAGUAACUUGCGAUAAGCCCAGAUUAGGUAGUAACUUCAGUGAAAUCGAGUAGGGCGGGACACGUGAUAUCCUGUCUGAAUAUGGGGGGACCAUCCUCCAAGGCUAAAUACUACUGACUGACCGAUAGUGAACCAGUACCGUGAGGGAAAGGCGAAAAGAACCCCUGUGAGGGGAGUGAAAUAGAACCUGAAACCGUGUACGUACAAGCAGUAGGAGCAGGCUUGUCCUGUGACUGCGUACCUUUUGUAUAAUGGGUCAGCGACUUAUAUUCAGUGGCAAGGUUAACCAUCUAGGGGAGCCGUAGGGAAACCGAGUCUUAACUGGGCGUUCAGUCUCUGGAUAUAGACCCGAAACCAGGUGAUCUAGCCAUGGGCAGGUUGAAGGUUGAGUAACAUCAACUGGAGGACCGAACCGACUAAUGUUGAAAAAUUAGCGGAUGACUUGUGGCUAGGGGUGAAAGGCCAAUCAAACCUGGAGAUAGCUGGUUCUCCCCGAAAGCUAUUUAGGUAGCGCCUCGGACGAAUACUACUGGGGGUAGAGCACUGUUAAGGCUAGGGGGUCAUCCCGACUUACCAACCCUUUGCAAACUCCGAAUACCAGUAAGUACUAUCCGGGAGACACACGGCGGGUGCUAACGUCCGUCGUGGAGAGGGAAACAACCCAGACCGCCAGCUAAGGUCCCAAAUUACUACUAAGUGGGAAACGAUGUGGGAAGGCUCAGACAGCCAGGAUGUUGGCUUAGAAGCAGCCAUCAUUUAAAGAAAGCGUAAUAGCUCACUGGUCGAGUCGGCCUGCGCGGAAGAUGUAACGGGGCUAAGUAGUAAACCGAAGCUGCGGCAAURURCUUUUGYAYAUUGGGUAGGGGAGCGUUCUGUAAGCGGUUGAAGGUGUGUGGUAACGCAUGCUGGACGUAUCAGAAGUGCGAAUGCUGACAUGAGUAACGAUAAAGGGGGUGAAAAACCUCCUCGCCGGAAGACCAAGGGUUCCUGUCCAACGUUAAUCGGGGCAGGGUAAGUCGACCCCUAAGGCGAGGCCGAAAGGCGUAGUCGAUGGGAAACGGGUUAAUAUUCCCGUACUUCUUACAAUUGCGAUGGGGGGACGGAGAAGGCUAGGUGGGCCUGGCGACGGUUGUCCAGGUUCAAGUGCGUAGGCUUAAGAGUUAGGUAAAUCCGGCUCUUUUUAAGGCUGAGACACGACGUCGAGCUACUACGGUAGUGAAGUCAUUGAUGCCAUGCUUCCAGGAAAAGCCUCUAAGCUUCAGAUUGUAAGGAAUCGUACCCCAAACCGACACAGGUGGUCGGGUAGAGAAUACCAAGGCGCUUGAGAGAACUCGGGUGAAGGAACUAGGCAAAAUGGUACCGUAACUUCGGGAGAAGGUACGCUCUYGAYGGUGAAGUCCCUCGCGGAUGGAGCURWYGAGAGUCGCAGAUACCAGGUGGCUGCAACUGUUUAUUAAAAACACAGCACUGUGCAAAAUCGUAAGAUGACGUAUACGGUGUGACGCCUGCCCGGUGCCGGAAGGUUAAUUGAUGGGGUUAGACUUCGGUCGAAGCUCUUGAUCGAAGCCCCGGUAAACGGCGGCCGUAACUAUAACGGUCCUAAGGUAGCGAAAUUCCUUGUCGGGUAAGUUCCGACCUGCACGAAUGGCGUAAUGAUGGCCACGCUGUCUCCACCCGAGACUCAGUGAAAUUGAAAUCGCUGUGAAGAUGCAGUGUACCCGCGGCUAGACGGAAAGACCCCGUGAACCUUUACUACAGCUUGGCACUGAACAUUGACCCUACAUGUGUAGGAUAGGUGGGAGGCUUUGAAGCACGUACGCCAGUAUGUGUGGAGCCGUCCUUGAAAUACCACCCUUGUAGUGUUGAUGUUCUAACGUCGACCCCUUAUCGGGGUUGCGGACAGUGCCUGGUGGGUAGUUUGACUGGGGCGGUCUCCUCCCAAAGAGUAACGGAGGAGCACGAAGGUGGGCUAAUCACGGUUGGACAUCGUGAGGUUAGUGCAAUGGCAUAAGCCCGCUUGACUGCGAGAAUGACAAUUCGAGCAGGUGCGAAAGCAGGUCAUAGUGAUCCGGUGGUUCUGAAUGGAAGGGCCAUCGCUCAACGGAUAAAAGGUACUCCGGGGAUAACAGGCUGAUACAGAUUGAAGGGGGCUGCUCCUAGUACGAGAGGACCGGAGUGGACGAACCUCUGGUGUUCGGGUUGUGUCGCCAGACGCAUUGCCCGGUAGCUAAGUUCGGAAUCGAUAACCGCUGAAAGCAUCUAAGCGGGAAGCGAGCCCUGAGAUGAGUCUUCCCUGAUACUUUAAGUAUCCUAAAGGGUUGUCGGAGACUACGACGUUGAUAGGUCAGGUGUGUAAGUGCUGUGAGGCAUUGAGCUAACUGAUACUAAUUGCCCGUGAGGCUUAACCAUACAACACCCAAGGGGUUU
This 2492-nucleotide ribosomal RNA is filed under the name Vibrio parahaemolyticus. RNAcentral's name for it is "bacterial LSU rRNA". It matches the Rfam family "Bacterial large subunit ribosomal RNA". Lineage: Bacteria; Pseudomonadati; Pseudomonadota; Gammaproteobacteria; Vibrionales; Vibrionaceae. The record is from RNAcentral.